GGUUAGCAGAUCAAUGAUUGUAAUCCGGGAAUUGCUGAGAGUUUGUAACGCCCGUAUUCAUAGACUUCAGAAUUUAUAACAAUUUUCUGACGCGUGACGCAAUUAGAUUAUACCCGUUUUUGCUUUUCUUUUCAUAAGCAACUGUUACAAACAAUCCAUAAUUAUAAGCCAGGAUGUUUUCUGAAAAUAAUCUUGACAAAGAUUAUUCCAGCAUAUCUAAACACGGACUACGAUCGCGUGUUUGUAACAACGAAAGAGAUUUUGAUGAAAGUUUACGAGGGUUUGCUGAAUAUUAUAUCUACGAUUAUAUCAACAGAAGACGUACCAUGAUGCCUCACUUACUUGUGAAUAUAAGUAGAAUUAAAAAAUUCCGAGAUUUAUGUAACGAAGAUAUUGUAGGCAGACAUUUUCCAAUCACUAACGUCAUAUAUGAAUUUCAUUCCUUUCGUUACAUGCUUAAUGUAAUUGCAGAUAAUGUGGAGAUCUCUAUAAAUUUCGAAAAAUACAGUCUGCCAAUUUUUAUUAUUUUAGGUCUGUUAGGUAACUGUUUGUCCGUUAUUGUACUCUUCCGUAAAACGAUGCGUUCUACCUCGUCCAACAUCUAUUUGGGCAUGCUAGCAACAAGCGAUAUCGUUUGUUCAAUGAUGUUACUCAUUGAAUGGCUCCUUUUAACGAAUAAAAACCCAAGAGAAAAUUAU
Molecule: non-coding RNA, 698 nt
Organism: Linepithema humile (Argentine ant)
Lineage: Eukaryota; Metazoa; Arthropoda; Insecta; Hymenoptera; Formicidae
Source: RefSeq, a predicted model, not a curated record